This 71-nucleotide transfer RNA is filed under the name Marmota monax (woodchuck). Its description in RNAcentral is "tRNA.Ala". It matches the Rfam family "tRNA". Rfam says of the family: Transfer RNA (tRNA) molecules are approximately 80 nucleotides in length. Lineage: Eukaryota; Metazoa; Chordata; Mammalia; Rodentia; Sciuridae. The record is from RNAcentral.
GGGGUUGUGGCUCAGUGGUAGAGUGCUUACCUAGCAUGUGUGAGGCACUGGGUUCAAUUCUCAGCACCACA